UACGAAGGGAGCUAGCGUUGCUCGGAAUCACUGGGCGUAAAGCGCACGUAGGCGGAUUUGUCAGUCAGGGGUGAAAUCCCGGGGCUCAACCUCGGAACUGCCUUUGAUACAGCAAGUCUUGAGUUCGAGAGAGGUGGGUGGAAUUCCUAGUGUAGAGGUGAAAUUCGUAGAUAUUAGGAAGAACACCGGUGGCGAAGGCGGCCCACUGGCUCGAUACUGACGCUGAGGUGCGAAAGCGUGGGGAGCAAACAGG
Molecule: ribosomal RNA, 253 nt
Filed under: uncultured bacterium
Lineage: Bacteria
Description: partial 16S ribosomal RNA
Rfam family: Bacterial small subunit ribosomal RNA
Source: RNAcentral